GACGAACGCUGGCGGCGUGCUUAACACAUGCAAGUCGAACGAAGAGCGACGGAAGCUUGCUUCUAUCAAUCUUAGUGGCGAACGGGUGAGUAACGCGUAAUCAACCUGCCCUUCAGAGGGGGACAACAGUUGGAAACGACUGCUGAUACCGCAUACGAUCUAACCUCGGCAUCGAGGAUAGAUGAAAGGUGGCCUCUACAUGUAAGCUAUCACUGAAGGAGGGGAUUGCGUCUGAUUAGCUAGUUGGAGGGGUAACGGCCCACCAAGGCGAUGAUCAGUAGCCGGUCUGAGAGGAUGAACGGCCACAUUGGGACUGAGACACGGCCCAGACUCCUACGGGAGGCAGCAGUGGGGAAUCUUCCGCAAUGGACGAAAGUCUGACGGAGCAACGCCGCGUGAGUGAUGACGGCCUUCGGGUUGUAAAGCUCUGUUAAUCGGGACGAAAGGCCUUCUUGCGAAUAGUGAGAAGGAUUGACGGUACCGGAAUAGAAAGCCACGGCUAACUACGUG
RNAcentral lists this ribosomal RNA (510 nucleotides) under uncultured bacterium. RNAcentral describes it as "partial 16S ribosomal RNA". It matches the Rfam family "Bacterial small subunit ribosomal RNA", at positions 28 to 507 of the family's 1533-position model. The record is from RNAcentral.